This 376-nucleotide ribosomal RNA is filed under the name uncultured eukaryote. RNAcentral's name for it is "partial 18S ribosomal RNA". It matches the Rfam family "Eukaryotic small subunit ribosomal RNA", at positions 592 to 976 of the family's 1831-position model. The record is from RNAcentral.
CAAUAGCGUAUAUUUAAGUUGCUGCAGUUAAAAAGCUCGUAGUUGGAUUUCGGGUGGGAAUGGCCGGUCCGCCGUUUCGGUGUGCACUUGCUACGCCCACCUUGCUGCCGGGGACGUGCUCUUGAGUUCACGCUCGGGACACGGAGUCGGCGAGGUUACUUUGAGUAAAUUAGAGUGUUCAAAGCGGGCUUACGCUUGAAUAUAUUAGCAUGGAAUAACACCAUAGGACUCCUGUCCUAUUUCGUUGGUCUCGGGACGGGAGUAAUGAUUAAGAGGAACAGUUGGGGGCAUUCGUAUUUCAUUGUCAGAGGUGAAAUUCUUGGAUUUAUGAAAGACGAACUUCUGCGAAAGCAUUUGCCAAGGAUGUUUUCAUUGA